Molecule: ribosomal RNA, 367 nt
Filed under: uncultured bacterium
Lineage: Bacteria
Description: bacterial SSU rRNA
Rfam family: Bacterial small subunit ribosomal RNA
Source: RNAcentral
CGGCAGUUCACAUCCAGGGCUUAUCCGGGAAAACAGAUUCCUCUUUUGGGCACAGGGAACAGGUGGGACAUUGUUGUUCUUCGCUUGUGUUGUGAGAUUGUGGGUUAACUCCCGCCAAGNGCGCCACCCCUUUCCUUUAUUUCCCAUCAUUAAAUUGGGCAUUUUAAGGGGGACACCGGGGAAAAACCGGAGGAAGGUGGGGAUGACGUCAAAUCAUCAUGCCCUUUAUGUCUUGGGCUACACACGUGUUACAAUGGUCGGUACAGAGGGAAGCGAAGCGGUGACACGGAGCGAAUCUCAGAAAGCGGUUCUCAGUUCGGAUUGCAGGCUGCAACUCGCCUGCAUGAAGUCGGAAUCGCUAGUAGUC